CCUCGUCCCCUACGCCUCUCUUUGCCCUUCGCCCCCCGCGAAGCAGCGCGUCGCUCGAUCCCGCGCCCCGCGCCCGCGAUGGUGCACAGCGCGUACGACUCCGUGGAGCUCCUCCGCGGCUGCCCCGCCCGGAUCGACGCCGUCGCCUCCUACGCCUCGAAGCUCCUCCUCGGCUGCUCCGACUCCUCCCUCCGCAUCUACUCCCCCCGCUCCCUCUCCUCCUCCGACGACGCUUCGGCAUCCUCCGCCGCCGCCGCCGCCGAUGCCGCCGCCGCCGAGAUCCGCCGCGACUCCUACGCCCUCGAGCGCGCCAUCCCGGGCUUCUGGAGGCGCCCGCCCCUCGCCAUGGAGGUGUCCGCCUCCCGCGACCUCCUCCUCUCCCUCUCCGAGUGGGUCGCCCUCCACCGCCUCCCCUCCCUUGAGACCCUCGUCGCCGUCGCCAAGACCAAGGGCGCCUCCGUCUACAGCUGGGACGACCGCCGGGGCCUCCUCUGCGUCGGCCGCCAGAAGCGCGUCGCCAUCUACCGCCUCGACGGUGGUCGAGAGUUUGUGGAAGUAAAGGAGUUUAGCGUUCCUGACGUGGUUAAGUCUAUGGCUUGGUGCGGGGAGAACAUAUGUCUGGGGAUUAGAAGGGAAUACAUGAUUAUGAAUAGCUUGACUGGUUCAUUAUCCGAAGUUUUCCCUGCUGGGAGGAUAGCUCCUCCAUUGGUUGUCCCUCUUCCGUCAGGGGAGCUGCUUCUCGGAAAGGACAACAUUGGUGUAUUUGUUGACCAAAAUGGGAAGCUUCUACAAGAUGGCAGGAUAUGUUGGUCCGAGGCUCCUGGAUCUGUUGUCAUCCAUAAACCGUAUGCUAUAGCUCGCCUACCCAGACAUGUCGAGGUACGGUCGCUUAAAGCUCCCAAUCAACUGGUUCAAACAAUUGUUCUCCGUGAUGUUCAUCUGCUUCUUCAAACCAACAAUUGUAUACUCGCUGCAUUAGGCAAUUCUGUUUAUGGUCUAUUGCCUGUCCCUCUUGGCGCGCAGAUAGUACAAUUAACUGCAUCGGGAGAUUUUGAGGAGGCCUUGGCUUUAUGCAAGCUACUUCCACCCGAGGAUUCAACUCUGCGAGCAGCGAAGGAGAGCUCAAUACACAUAAGAUAUGGUCACUUCUUGUUUGACAACGGAAGCUAUGAGGAGUCGAUGGAGCAAUUUUUAGCUUCACAAGUGGAUAUCACUUAUGUUUUAUCGCUAUACCCGUCCAUUAUACUUCCCAAGACGCUUAAUAUUACCGAGGCUGAUAAGCUCCAUGACUUGACAGAUACUUCACAUCUAUCCAGAAUGUCAUCUGAUGCUUCAGAUGAGAUGGAAUCCUCCCUCCCUAUCCAACAUCAGGAAUCUGAUCUUGAAAUGAAGAAAAUGAGUCACAACUCGCUUACGGCUCUUGUAAAGUACUUGCAGAAGAGAAGAUUUAGUAUAAUUGAGAGGGCCACUGCAGAGGUAACUGAGGAGGUUGUCUCAGUUGUACAGGACAGUAUGGCCUUGUCUGAUCCACAUAGACCGAAAACAUCAAACAAGAGGCACAGCCAGAUACAUAUCAGCUCAGUAGCCAGAGAGAUGGCGACUGUACUGGAUACCGCACUUCUUCAAGCCCUGCUUCUUACAGGGCAGACAUCAGGAGCACUUGAGUUACUUAAGGGCCUCAAUUAUUGUGAUUUGAAGAUAUGUGAAGAAUUUUUGAAGGAAAGGAAUUUCUAUAUAGUGUUACUGGAGCUGUACAAGAGUAACGAAUUGCACCGCGAAGCUCUUAAACUUCUGAAUCAACUGGUCGAGGAAUCAAAAUCAGGCCUUGCAAAUUCUGAGCUCAAUCAGAAGUUCAAACCAAAUAUGAUUAUCGAGUAUCUCAGGCCUCUUUGUAGGACCGAUCCUAUGCUUGUUUUAGAAUCCUCCUUGACUGUUCUUGAGAGCUGCCCAACAGAAACGAUUGAACUUUUCCUGUCUGAAAAUGUUCCAGCAGACUUGGUAAAUUCAUAUUUGAAGCAGCAUGCACCAAAUUUGCAGUCUACAUAUCUAGAGCUUAUGCUUUCAAUGAGUGAAAAUGGGAUCAAUCCUAACCUGCAAAAUGAACUGGUGCAAAUAUACCUUUCAGAAGUACUCGAUUGGUACCAGGAUCUCAAGGACGAACAAAAAUGGGACGAGAAAACUUACUCUCAAACCCGUAAGAAGUUAAUAUCUGCAUUAGAGGGUAUUUCGGGUUAUAAUGCUGAGGUCCUGUUAAAGUGUCUCCCACAAGAUGCACUCUUUGAGGAGCGCGCGAUACUACUUGGAAAAUUAAAUCAACACCAUCUUGCUUUAUCUUUGUAUGUUCACAAGCUGCAUUUAUCAGAGCUAGCGGUAGCAUACUGCGAUCGUGUUUACGAAGCAGGAUCAUCACAGCCUCCAAAAUCAAAUGUGAACAUCUAUCUUAUGCUACUACAGAUUUACUUAAAUCCACAAAAGACAAAAAAAGAAUUUGAAAGAAGAACUAUUUCGGUACCUUCCCAAAGCCCUAUAACCCAAAAGGUUGGUUAUACUAAAUUCAAAGGGAGCCGCAAUUCUAAGAAAAUUGUGGAGAUUGAGGGUGCUGAUGACAUGCGCAUUAGCCUCAGCAGCACUGAUAGUGGACGAAGUGAUGGUGAUGGAGAUGAAUAUGCUGAAGGAGGAGGUUCUGCAAUGUUGAAUGAGACACUUGAAUUGUUGAGCCAGCGAUGGGAUAGGAUAAAUGGUGCACAGGCUCUAAAACUAUUACCCAGAGAAACAAAGCUCCAGAAUUUGCUUUCUUUCCUUGAACCACUUCUCAAGAAAUCUAGCGAACAUCGGCGGAAUUAUGCAGUUAUUAAGAACUUGAUAUUCAGGGCGCAUUUGCAGGUAAAGGAAGAUCUUAGUAAAUCCCGACAAACAGUUGUGAAGAUUGAUGGAGAGAGCACCUGUUCUCUGUGCCGUAAGCGGAUAGGUAACAGUGCUUUUGCUGUUUAUCCAAAUGGAAAGACACUUGUGCAUUUUGUCUGCUUUAGAGACUCGCAGCGCAUCAAGGCUGUCCGAGGUGCACCCCCAGUCAAGCGCCUGUAGUUUGCUCCUAACGUGAAAUGCCGAGAAAUAUUAAUUUGUAGUCCAGAUUUGAUGUUAAAAGAAUCCAUGCGGUCCUGAAAAUAGUUGAAACUUUGGCAUAUGGAAGGUGACAGGGUUCAGGGUGUGCGUACCGUUCUUUACAAAUUCAGCCAGUGGGUGAGCUUUUCUUCAUGGCCGGCCGUGAGCUAACAGUGACAUGUACAAAUACAAACUCGUGUUAAAUUAUUUGUAUAAGAGUCCAUGCGAUCGCUACUAUCUGCUAUUCAUGGCGGUAUUCUUGUUCGGCUGCUGUGAUGUCAAUGCACAAGAAGACCUGUCUACACGUAGGCUAAAUUGCUGAUGUCUUCUCGCUAUGAUCGCAGUUUCAGUGAAGUUCUUAUGUUGUUGUGUUUACUACUAUUAUGGGAAUAAAUGAGUUCAAAGGCGCAAGCGGAAGGGUUGCACUCAUUAUCAUGACAUCUUUGCAGAGUUCACAGUUUUUGUAAUUUGAUGUUAACUAGAUUAUGUGCUGUGACAUUUCUUCUUCUUUUUUUACCCCUCUGUUGUGAGCUUGGUGUGUAGCUAAGAGGGAGAAUGUAAGCCAAUAUUUUCUCAUGAAUGUUUGUUUGCAAACUGCUUGUGUCAUUUAUCAGUUCUCCUUGAGAAGGAAAUAAUAAAGUUUGAUUAUUUAUUGGGUUGGAGGAAA
Ananas comosus (pineapple) is the source of this 3769-nucleotide RNA transcript. It is a transcript of the gene named vam6/Vps39-like protein, with no coding region annotated. The transcript has 14 exons. Lineage: Eukaryota; Viridiplantae; Streptophyta; Magnoliopsida; Poales; Bromeliaceae. The record is from RefSeq and is a predicted model, not a curated record.